AUUGAACGCUGGCGGCAUGCCUUACACAUGCAAGUCGAACGGCAGCACGGGGGCAACCCUGGUGGCGAGUGGCGAACGGGUGAGUAACAUAUCGGAACAUACCCUAGAGUGGGGAUAACGUAGCGAAAGUUACGCUAAUACCGCAUACGCACUAAGGUGGAAAGUGGGGGAUCUUCGGACCUCAUGCUCAUGGAGUGGCCGAUAUCUGAUUAGCUAGUUGGUGAGGUAAAGGCUCACCAAGGCGACGAUCAGUAGCUGGUUUGAGAGAACGACCAGCCACACUGGAACUGAGACACGGUCCAGACUCCUACGGAGGCAGCAGUGGGGAAUUUUGGACAAUGGGGGCAACCCUGAUCCAGCAAUGCCGCGUGAGUGAAGAAGGCC
RNAcentral lists this ribosomal RNA (384 nucleotides) under uncultured bacterium. RNAcentral describes it as "bacterial SSU rRNA". It matches the Rfam family "Bacterial small subunit ribosomal RNA", at positions 30 to 416 of the family's 1533-position model. The record is from RNAcentral.